UGACUGCGUACCUUUUGUAUAAUGGGUCAGCGACUUAUAUUCUGUAGCAAGGUUAACCGAAUAGGGGAGCCGGAGGGAAACCGAGUCUUAAUUGGGCGUUAAGUUGCAGGGUAUAGACCCGAAACCCGGUGAUCUAGCCAUGGGCAGGUUGAAGGUUGGGUAACACUAACUGGAGGACCGAACCGACUAAUGUUGAAAAAUUAGCGGAUGACCUGUGGCUGGGGGUGAAAGGCCAAUCAAACCGGGAGAUAGCUGGUUCUCCCCGAAAGCUAUUUAGGUAGCGCCUCGUGAAUUCAUCUCCGGGGGUAGAGCACUGUUUCGGCUAGGGGGCCAUCCCGGCUUACCAACCCGAUGCAAACUGCGAAUACCGGAGAAUGUUAUCACGGGAGACACACGGCGGGUGCUAACGUCCGUCGUGAAGAGGGAAACAACCCAGACCGCCAGCUAAGGUCCCAAAGUCAUGGUUAAGUGGGAAACGAUGUGGGAAGGCACAGACAGCCAGGAUGUUGGCUUAGAAGCAGCCAUCAUUUAAAGAAAGCGUAAUAGCUCACUGGUCGAGUCGGCCUGCGCGGAAGAUGUAACGGGGCUAAACCAUGCACCGAAGCUGCGGCAGCGACGUUUAUGCGUUGUUGGGUAGGGGAGCGUUCUGUAAGCCUGCGAAGGUGGCCUGUGAGGGUUGCUGGAGGUAUCAGAAGUGCGAAUGCUGACAUAAGUAACGAUAAAGCGGGUGAAAAGCCCGCUCGCCGGAAGACCAAGGGUUCCUGUCCAACGUUAAUCGGGGCAGGGUGAGUCGACCCCUAAGGCGAGGCCGAAAGGCGUAGUCGAUGGGAAACGGGUUAAUAUUCCCGUACUUGGUGUUACUGCGAAGGGGGGACGGAGAAGGCUAUGUUGGCCGGGCGACGGUUGUCCCGGUUUAAGCGUGUAGGUGUGUGUUCCAGGUAAAUCCGGUUCACUUUAACACUGAGGCGUGACGACGAGGCACUACGGUGCUGAAGCAACAAAUGCCCUGCUUCCAGGAAAAGCCUCUAAGCAUCAGGUAACAUCAAAUCGUACCCCAAACCGACACAGGUGGUCAGGUAGAGAAUACCAAGGCGCUUGAGAGAACUCGGGUGAAGGAACUAGGCAAAAUGGUGCCGUAACUUCGGGAGAAGGCACGCUGACACGUAGGUGAAGUGAUUUACUCAUGGAGCUGAAGUCAGUCGAAGAUACCAGCUGGCUGCAACUGUUUAUUAAAAACACAGCACUGUGCAAACACGAAAGUGGACGUAUACGGUGUGACGCCUGCCCGGUGCCGGAAGGUUAAUUGAUGGGGUCAGCGCAAGCGAAGCUCCUGAUCGAAGCCCCGGUAAACGGCGGCCGUAACUAUAACGGUCCUAAGGUAGCGAAAUUCCUUGUCGGGUAAGUUCCGACCUGCACGAAUGGCGUAAUGAUGGCCAGGCUGUCUCCACCCGAGACUCAGUGAAAUUGAACUCGCUGUGAAGAUGCAGUGUACCCGCGGCAAGACGGAAAGACCCCGUGAACCUUUACUAUAGCUUGACACUGAACAUUGAGCCUUGAUGUGUAGGAUAGGUGGGAGGCUUUGAAGUGUGGACGCCAGUCUGCAUGGAGCCGACCUUGAAAUACCACCCUUUAAUGUUUGAUGUUCUAACGUGGACCCGUUACCCGGGUUGCGGACAGUGUCUGGUGGGUAGUUUGACUGGGGCGGUCUCCUCCUAAAGAGUAACGGAGGAGCACGAAGGUUGGCUAAUCCUGGUCGGACAUCAGGAGGUUAGUGCAAUGGCAUAAGCCAGCUUGACUGCGAGCGUGACGGCGCGAGCAGGUGCGAAAGCAGGUCAUAGUGAUCCGGUGGUUCUGAAUGGAAGGGCCAUCGCUCAACGGAUAAAAGGUACUCCGGGGAUAACAGGCUGAUACCGCCCAAGAGUUCAUAUCGACGGCGGUGUUUGGCACCUCGAUGUCGGCUCAUCACAUCCUGGGGCUGAAGUAGGUCCCAAGGGUAUGGCUGUUCGCCAUUUAAAGUGGUACGCGAGCUGGGUUUAGAACGUCGUGAGACAGUUCGGUCCCUAUCUGCCGUGGGCGCUGGAGAACUGAGGGGGGCUGCUCCUAGUACGAGAGGACCGGAGUGGACGCAUCACUGGUGUUCGGGUUGUCAUGCCAAUGGCACUGCCCGGUAGCUAAAUGCGGAAGAGAUAAGUGCUGAAAGCAUCUAAGCACGAAACUUGCCCCGA
RNAcentral lists this ribosomal RNA (2225 nucleotides) under Salmonella enterica subsp. enterica serovar Bareilly. RNAcentral describes it as "partial 23S ribosomal RNA". It matches the Rfam family "Bacterial large subunit ribosomal RNA", at positions 594 to 2802 of the family's 2925-position model. Lineage: Bacteria; Pseudomonadati; Pseudomonadota; Gammaproteobacteria; Enterobacterales; Enterobacteriaceae. The record is from RNAcentral.